GUGAACCCUCAGCGUUAAUUGGGCAGACAAUCUGUAAACAUGAGUCACAUACAGAUCAAGCCAAAAGCACACUGAUAAUGCUUGAACCCUCCCCCUCUACUGCAACUGCCCCCACCAAUCUGUUUAGGGAGCUGGACUCAUUAGCGGUCUAGGCACAUCCUGGGAAGCUCUUCUAAAAAGUAACCCUUAUACCUGUGCAAAUGUCUCCCCUGUAAAAAGGUUUGGUGGCAUCUUGUCCGCGGAUGUCAUCCCAGACGGUACACAUACCUGGCUCCUCCAGAACUGAGGGAUUUCUAACAAUGACCUAGAGAGCUACCCACAGGACUGAGUCAGUCCAGCCAAAAGCGAAGACCAAACAAUCUGUUCCUGCUGACUUUCUCAUCCAGAGAAGCUGAUGAGAUGUCUACGGCAGAACAGGAAAAGAAGCCAUUUUUAGAAGUAACACCUACAUCCCAGGAUGUGGGGAGAGACAAAGAAAAAGAUUUUCUUGGUGUUAGCCGCUAUACAGAGUCCUCUCAUAAGACUCGAGAGCCAUAUUAAUACAGUUUUUAUGGGUUUUGUGGAAUAUUUUUCCCACAAGCCGUGCCUCUGCGUAACAGAUUCUAAGAUGGCCCCCAGUAGUCCCCACCUCCUGUGUUCAUGUCCUGUGUCAUCUCCUCCCCUUGGGUGUGGGUGGAACCUGUGACUUGCUGCCUACUGAUGGAAUAUGGCACUGACAGUGAGGAUGUUGCCACAGAGAGUGGGUUAUACAGUCUUUCUGGGAGACUCGGCAGCUUGCUGGCAUUGGGGAACUAGAAAGCUGUGUUAGGAUGCCCACAUGACAAGGAGCUAAGGAUGCCUUAUCCAAGACCUGGUUAGAAACUGAGACCCCUUAGUCACACAGAUGGAAGGGAGCUGAAUUCUGCUGACAACUAGGGAGACUUGAUCGUAACCAUUCCCUGGGGUUCACCUGGAGCUGAGACUGUAACCCCAAAUGAUGAAUUGACUGAGCUUUUCAGAUAAGAUGCUAAAACAGAGGACUCCAAAAAGCUACACCCUACUUCAGACACACAGGAACUAUGACGAUGGAAAAAAUAUGACAAGAGAAAAUGAAUUAAAGGGGCCAGAACAAUUUAAGGUAGCAGCAUAAUGUAUUAUUAUGCCAUCCUCAGAGCCUUUGUAGGCCUGCAUAGCCAAGGAGAAGCAGACCAGGAAAAUCAUCAAUGGUGAAGAGCCAUGCCAAGGCUGAAAGUUGGUGGAAGAUGGAGAAAAAUGCGAACUGCAGUAGGCAAAGGGGACAGGCGUUUUCUUUGGGGCCACCAAUCAGCUCCCAAAUCACGACAUAGAGACUUCUUAUUAGUUUUGAGUGAUGGGCCUAGCUUAGGCUUGUUUCUGGCUGGCUCUUUUCACUUAAAUUAAACGGUUUCUCUGUAUCUA
Long non-coding RNA from Peromyscus californicus insignis, 1416 nucleotides. RefSeq lists it as uncharacterized. The transcript is spliced from 2 exons. NCBI's taxonomy places the organism in Eukaryota, Metazoa, Chordata, Mammalia, Rodentia, Cricetidae. The record is from RefSeq and is a predicted model, not a curated record.